Clupea harengus (Atlantic herring) is the source of this 1001-nucleotide long non-coding RNA. RefSeq lists it as uncharacterized. The transcript is spliced from 3 exons. The record is from RefSeq and is a predicted model, not a curated record. Lineage: Eukaryota; Metazoa; Chordata; Actinopteri; Clupeiformes; Clupeidae.
UAAAUUGCAUUUUGCAGCUGGCAAAUGAAGUGUAGUCAUGGUGGUUGCGAGGUAGUCAUGGUGGUUGCUAGGUAAUCAUAGUGGUUGCUGGGGCGUUGCUAGGUAGUCAGGUUGGUUGCUAGGUAGUUAUAGUGGUUGAUGGGGCGUUGCUAGGUAGUCACAGUGGUUGCUAGGCAGUCAUGGUGGUUGCUAGGUAGUCAUAGUGGUUGCUGGGGCGUUACUAGGAAGAAAUAUUGAACUUGGUUUGGCCUUGGCCCUGGAUGCACUGGCCGAUCCUAAGUUGACAGAUGUUGGGGGGGGGGGGGGCAGAGAAAGGUUGCAGAAGAGAUGGUGGCCAACGGAAAUAAAGAGGGUCAGUAAGGAGGGGGAUGAAAUAAGGUGGGUAAUAAGAAUGGAGGCCAAAAGAAAGUAAAAGGGUCAGUGGAUAUAAUGAGCGGGAAUGGGGUGGCCAGGGGGGGAUGAGAGUAAUGGUAGGGGUUAGGGUUAGGAUGGGGGUAACAGAAAAUUGUGUUGAAAUGGGGGGGGGUAUUUCGGUUAAGUUUAUGGGGCCUAGACUGGUAAAAGAUAUGUCAAACUGACUGUUGGUAAAAUCAUGAAAAUAAUACAGGGAGGGACAGAAGAAAAUGAUACCAAGUUUUUAUUGAGUGUUUGGGAGUCUGUGGAAGAAAGAUGGAUGUUAGAUUUAAUUAAGUCCAAGUGGGGAGUGGGUGAUCAGUUUGUGAAUCCAGGUUCUUUCUGUUCUCUUUCUCUGGGCAGGGGUCCAGCCAGGAUUCCUUUCCAGACCACAAAUGCCAAGGUGUGAUGUAUCAUGGACCUGAAAGUGACUGACUAGGUGCUGCCAUUGCAGAUGAAGUACAGAGAGAGGUCACGUGGUCACAGCUCAGUGUCACAUUACAGGAGUCAGCGCUGGACAAGUUUGUCACUACAGACAGGCCUAAGUGAGACGCAAACUGAGCAAGGAGCGAUCAGCUGGUGGAAUCGGGCUAUUCCACUGACUUUGG